This 246-nucleotide ribosomal RNA is filed under the name uncultured bacterium. RNAcentral describes it as "partial 16S ribosomal RNA". It matches the Rfam family "Bacterial small subunit ribosomal RNA", at positions 524 to 769 of the family's 1533-position model. The record is from RNAcentral.
UACGAAGGGGGCUAGCGUUGUUCGGAAUCACUGGGCGUAAAGGGCUCGUAGGCGGCCAACUAAGUCAGACGUGAAAUCCCUCAGCUUAACUGGGGAACUGCGUCUGAUACUGGAUGGCUUGGAUUCGGGAGAGGAAUGCGGAAUUCCAGGUGUAGCGGUGAAAUGCGUAGAUAUCUGGAGGAACACCGGUGGCGAAGGCGGCAUUCUGGACCGAUAUUGACGCUGAGGAGCGAAAGCCAGGGGAGC